UAGAGUUUGAUCAUGGCUCAGAUUGAACGCUGGCGGCAGGCCUAACACAUGCAAGUCGAGCGGAAACGAGAAGUAGCUUGCUACUUCGGCGUCGAGCGGCGGACGGGUGAGUAAUGCCUGGGAAAUUGCCUUGAUGUGGGGGAUAACCAUUGGAAACGAUGGCUAAUACCGCAUAAUGCCUACGGGCCAAAGAGGGGGAUCUUCGGACCUCUCGCGUCAAGAUAUGCCUAGGUGGGAUUAGCUAGUUGGUGAGGUAAUGGCUCACCAAGGCGACGAUCCCUAGCUGGUCUGAGAGGAUGAUCAGCCACACUGGAACUGAGACACGGUCCAGACUCCUACGGGAGGCAGCAGUGGGGAAUAUUGCACAAUGGGCGAAAGCCUGAUGCAGCCAUGCCGCGUGUAUGAAGAAGGCCUUCGGGUUGUAAAGUACUUUCAGUUGUGAGGAAGGGUGUGUAGUUAAUAGCUGCGCAUCUUGACGUUAGCAACAGAAGAAGCACCGGCUAACUCCGUGCCAGCAGCCGCGGUAAUACGGAGGGUGCGAGCGUUAAUCGGAAUUACUGGGCGUAAAGCGCAUGCAGGUGGUCUGUUAAGCAAGAUGUGAAAGCCCGGGGCUCAACCUCGGAACAGCAUUUUGAACUGGCAGACUAGAGUACUGUAGAGGGGGGUAGAAUUUCA
Molecule: ribosomal RNA, 675 nt
Filed under: uncultured Vibrionaceae bacterium
Lineage: Bacteria; Pseudomonadati; Pseudomonadota; Gammaproteobacteria; Vibrionales; Vibrionaceae
Description: bacterial SSU rRNA
Rfam family: Bacterial small subunit ribosomal RNA
Source: RNAcentral